UGGCGCUUAAGAGGCUCGACGGUCCCACCGAGAGUUGAAUGGGAUCCCAGCGUGAUCUGGCACACGGGCGGGAAGGGAGCGCAACACACGUCCUGGACGAGGUUUGAGCCAAAAGCACCGUGCUGCCCGACUUUCAUCGACAUUCCUUCUCCUGCCCGGCCCGCAGGACCGAGCCAACCGAUUCGCGGUGCGUAAUUACGCAUCGGGACGACACACAUCGGCUGUGCUUUUCGGCGUGGAAACCCCGCGGACAAAGAAAGGCAGGCGGGCUGUAGUAUAAGCUACUUGAGAAGAGAGGACUACAGUUCGAGGAGAAAUAGGGAAGUCUGGAGUCGGAAGUGAUUUGUCUAUUUUUUGUUGUCGGAGAUGUAAGUUGCGGCCAGGAUUUCGGGGAAAAGGCGAAUCUGUCUCCUGGAAAUCAAGGAGAAAAAGACAACGUGGAGCGGUGGUGAGUGGAAUCCGUCCUAAAAAGCAUCCAGAUCCUCGGAGCAUGGGUGCCCGCGUGGUCCCUCAUCAUCAUCAUCAUCAUCCCGUGAGCCUCGAUCCACCGUCAUCGCAGCAAGCGUACGGUUGCUCAGAGGGAGCGAAACGGCUCAUCGACCUGCGAACGGUUCGCGAAUGCUCCGCUUCAUUACACCAGGAGAGCAGCAAUGACCUCAAGGUCCCGGACCAUGUAUGCAUAUCUGUAGC
Molecule: long non-coding RNA, 690 nt
Organism: Gasterosteus aculeatus aculeatus (three-spined stickleback)
Lineage: Eukaryota; Metazoa; Chordata; Actinopteri; Perciformes; Gasterosteidae
Source: Ensembl